Non-coding RNA from Danio rerio (zebrafish), 72 nucleotides. The record is from Rfam. Lineage: Eukaryota; Metazoa; Chordata; Actinopteri; Cypriniformes; Danionidae.
GCCGUGAUCGUAUAGUGGUUAGUACUCUGCGUUGUAGCCGCAGCAAUGCCGGUUCGAAUCUGGGUCACGGCA